UACAGAGGUCCCAAGCGUUGUUCGGAUUCACUGGGCGUAAAGGGUGCGUAGGCGGUGAGGUAAGUUUGACGUGAAAUCUCCGGGCUCAACCCGGAACUGCGUUGAAUACUAUCUCGCUAGAGGAAUGGAGGGGAGACUGGAAUACUUGGUGUAGCAGUGAAAUGCGUAGAUAUCAAGUGGAACACCAGUGGCGAAGGCGAGUCUCUGGACAUUUCCUGACGCUGAGGCACGAAAAGCCAGGGGAGGCAAACGGG
RNAcentral lists this ribosomal RNA (254 nucleotides) under uncultured bacterium. RNAcentral describes it as "partial 16S ribosomal RNA". It matches the Rfam family "Bacterial small subunit ribosomal RNA", at positions 524 to 776 of the family's 1533-position model. The record is from RNAcentral.